CCCUAUUUUAAAAGUAAGUUGUUUUCUUUUAGAAAUUAAAGGGGAGAAAUAGCAAUCAUCCAUCAUCUCGUCAUCUCAGUAUUCAGUUUCCACUACUAAUUCUGGCUGAUAAGUUUCCUUCCCAUCUCUCUUUUUAAGGAAAAAAAAGUCACAUUAAAAAAUAAGUGACACCUGUUCAUUAUAAAGAAUUCAAAACAUGCUGUAAAUUCCCAAAACAGAAAUAAAAAACCAACCCAAAUCCAGCCAGCUGAAAAUAACCAUUAGAAGGGACUUCCUUGGGGGUCCAGUGCUUAAGACUCCUUAUUUCCACUGCAGCAGGCCUGGCUUUGACCCCUUGUCAGGGAGCUAGUACCCUGAGUGCUGCGUGGGGCCAAAAAAAAAAAAAAGACCCAUUAACAUUAGAUGAACAUCAUUUUGAACAACUCCACAAAUACACAAAAACCAGAAGGAAUCACUGCUUGCUGUGAAAGAUGAGCUAACUGGGCCAGACACAUGGGCAUGGGCACACAGUUCUGAAGAUCCUGAAGUCCUUGUGUGUGCCAGUUGGGAGACAUGGGCGGUGGACUCUCUCCCCAGCACUCUCCCCCGUCCUGGCCACCCUGAUCCCACCCCCAGGACCAGUCCCAGCCCCCGUCUCCCCAGGAUCCACAGCUACAGAGCAAAGGGGAACUUGGAUCCUUCUCCCUGAGCCCCCUUCAACACCCUCACCCCAACCCAAAUAGCUUGGUUUUCAUCGGUUUCAUCUGUUUCAGGGGGGUUGAAAGCAGUUGGAAAACCACUCCCCUGGGCUAGCACACAGGCCUUGCAGCUUUGCGUGGUCCCUGAGUUUCAGACAGCAGAGACCUUUCUGCCUAAGCCCAUAUAGCUCAUUAAGAAGUGGAAGAGCAUGUCUGUAAUCACGGUGUAAUUACCUUGCCUCCUAAUUGGUAGCAGACACAGGCCUGCGGGUAUGGAAACUCCCCAGUGAGCUGGCUCCAAACAGAUGAGGCAGAAGGUGCAGGCGGCCAGGAGUGUGUGGAGGCUGAAGGAAGGGGGCGAGCUCUGCUGGAGUUCCGCUCUGGCCGGCCCAGAGCCCAGGCACACUCCUGCACCACAUUCAUCAGAACCAGUUGCCUUAUUCUAUGAAGCCUCCUGAACCCAGCGGCGGUCUCAGCUCCAUUCCGUGGCUCAGUCGUGUCAGACUCUUCGCAACCCCAUGGCCUGCAGCCCUGUCCAUCACCAACUCCCAGAGCUUGCUCAGACUCAGGUCCAUCGAGUCAGUGAUGCCAUCCAACCAUGGUGACAGUCUAUCACCUGUUGAUUCCACUCUGGACCCUCAGGGAACAGAGCCCAGUGAGCCGGGACCAGGGAGGAAGCUGUCGUUGGCCACAGAGGGGUGAGAUCUGUGCUGGCAAGUGUGAGGGGCAACGGUGAGCAGGAGCAGCCUGCCUGGCUCUCCAGUCUCCAGUCUCUCCUGAUGCAGCAGGGACCGGCGUCCCCUGGUGGCUGGUGCUCUUUACUGCAGAAGGUUUUCACCAAUGAAUGACGACCUUGGCCAGAUAUCCUCAUUUCAUAGGUCUCCGACUGCAUUUCACUCUAGAGGAAGACGCUGCAAACAAAGCACUGUGGGGGGCAGUCACUUGCAGAAACAGCAACGGAGGAGGAGGAGUGAAGAUGCUCAGGGGAGGCUUCUUGGAGGAAGGGAGCUGGAGAUGUCUCUGGAGACAGUGGCCUCAUAUCCCAUGACUUGGUUUAUAUGCCCUCAGAGGUGUCCCAUGUGGUCGGUUUAUUGUUAACCUGAUUUGUGAGUAUUGGUUUUGUCUGGCUGGCUGAAUUUUGAAGGAGAUUCAACAAAAUCAGCAACAGUUCUGGUCCUCGGCAGUGAGGGAGCCGGCUGGGCCCCUGCACACACUGGCUCGCUUAAAUCUCCCAGAGCUGUGCAAGGUCGGAGAACCAGCUCCACGGAGCUCCUGGUUCCAAGUGGCAGAGCUGUGCACCAGGAUCUGUGUGAUGCCAAGUCCAUGCUCACGGUCCUCAUCCCUACAGAUGACCUCUGACCAGCUGAGCCCGGCCGGGCAGGGGACAGUCCCCCUCCCCUCCUGUGAGGAUCCAGGAGAGCUGUUCUGUCUAUGAAGCCCUCCAUAUCCCUUGGCUUCACUGUGGAAAACAGUAUGGGAAUUCUUAAAAAAACUAAAUGUAGAUCUACAGACCCCCUUUCUGAGUUUACACCCAAAAUCAUUAAAAGCAGAGACUCG
Long non-coding RNA from Bubalus bubalis (water buffalo), 2234 nucleotides. RefSeq lists it as uncharacterized. The record is from RefSeq and is a predicted model, not a curated record. The transcript has 7 exons. NCBI's taxonomy places the organism in Eukaryota, Metazoa, Chordata, Mammalia, Artiodactyla, Bovidae.